GUUAUAUGGUCAAGUGAAGAAGCGCAUACGGUGGAUGCCUUGGCAGUCAGAGGCGAUGAAAGACGUGGUAGCCUGCGAUAAGCUUUGGGGAGUCGGCAAACAGACUGUGAUCCAGAGAUCUCUGAAUGGGGGAACCCAGCCAGCACAAGCUGGUUAUCUUGUACUGAAUACAUAGGUGCAAGAGGCGAACCAGGGGAACUGAAACAUCUAAGUACCCUGAGGAAAAGAAAUCAACCGAGAUUCCCUUAGUAGUGGCGAGCGAACGGGGACCAGCCCUUAAGCUGGUUUGAGAUUAGUGGAACGCUCUGGAAAGUGCGGCCAUAGUGGGUGAUAGCCCCGUACACGAAAAUCUCUUGCCAGUGAAAUCGAGUAGGACGGAGCACGAGAAACUUUGUCUGAACAUGGGGGGACCAUCCUCCAAGGCUAAAUACUACUGACUGACCGAUAGUGAACCAGUACCGUGAGGGAAAGGCGAAAAGAACCCCGGAGAGGGGAGUGAAAUAGAACCUGAAACCGUAUGCGUACAAGCAGUGGGAGCCUACUUUGUUAGGUGACUGCGUACCUUUUGUAUAAUGGGUCAGCGACUUAUAUUCAGUGGCGAGCUUAACCGAAUAGGGGAGGCGUAGCGAAAGCGAGUCUUAAUAGGGCGCUUUAGUCGCUGGGUAUAGACCCGAAACCGGGCGAUCUAUCCAUGGGCAGGUUGAAGGUUAGGUAACACUGACUGGAGGACCGAACCGACUACCGUUGAAAAGUUAGCGGAUGACCUGUGGAUCGGAGUGAAAGGCUAAUCAAGCUCGGAGAUAGCUGGUUCUCCUCGAAAGCUAUUUAGGUAGCGCCUCAUGUAUCACUGUAGGGGGUAGAGCACUGUUUCGGCUAGGGGGUCAUCCCGACUUACCAAACCGAUGCAAACUCCGAAUACCUACAAGUGCCGAGCAUGGGAGACACACGGCGGGUGCUAACGUCCGUCGUGAAAAGGGAAACAACCCAGACCGUCAGCUAAGGUCCCAAAGUCAUGGUUAAGUGGGAAACGAUGUGGGAAGGCUUAGACAGCUAGGAGGUUGGCUUAGAAGCAGCCACCCUUUAAAGAAAGCGUAAUAGCUCACUAGUCGAGUCGGCCUGCGCGGAAGAUGUAACGGGGCUCAAACCAUGCACCGAAGCUACGGGUGUCAUCUUUGAUGACGCGGUAGAGGAGCGUUCUGUAAGCCUGUGAAGGUGAGUUGAGAAGCUUGCUGGAGGUAUCAGAAGUGCGAAUGCUGACAUGAGUAACGACAAUGCGAGUGAAAAACUCGCACGCCGAAAGACCAAGGUUUCCUGCGCAACGUUAAUCGACGCAGGGUUAGUCGGUCCCUAAGGCGAGGCUGAAAAGCGUAGUCGAUGGAAAACAGGUUAAUAUUCCUGUACUUCCAGUUAUUGCGAUGGAGGGACGGAGAAGGCUAGGCCAGCUUGGCGUUGGUUGUCCAAGUUUAAGGUGGUAGGCUGAAAUCUUAGGCAAAUCCGGGAUUUCAAGGCCGAGAGCUGAUGACGAGUGCUCUUUAGAGCGCGAAGUGGUUGAUGCCAUGCUUCCAAGAAAAGCUCCUAAGCUUCAGAUAACUGGGAACCGUACCCCAAA
This 1609-nucleotide ribosomal RNA is filed under the name Pseudomonas mosselii. Its description in RNAcentral is "partial 23S ribosomal RNA". It matches the Rfam family "Bacterial large subunit ribosomal RNA", at positions 1 to 1653 of the family's 2925-position model. Lineage: Bacteria; Pseudomonadati; Pseudomonadota; Gammaproteobacteria; Pseudomonadales; Pseudomonadaceae. The record is from RNAcentral.